Sorex araneus (European shrew) is the source of this 328-nucleotide long non-coding RNA. RefSeq lists it as uncharacterized. The record is from RefSeq and is a predicted model, not a curated record. Lineage: Eukaryota; Metazoa; Chordata; Mammalia; Eulipotyphla; Soricidae. The transcript has 3 exons.
GCCGCCUCCGCGGCAGAGGCUGCAGCGCUCCGCUGAGCAGCCCUGCUGAAGAGGACAAAGCUCACAAACUACAAGAGUGCUCCAUACCUUGGGGGAUCCCUGCACCCUACCAUGUGAAAUUCUUGCGGCCUCCACAAGAAGUCUGUUUUGGGGCUUGGAGGGCAUCAAGAUCCAAGCUAAGUUUCCCACAAAGAUGCAGAGAUCCUCAAAAAGAUCCAUUGCCACUGGGUCCUGGGCCCUGGUGUCAUCUGCACAGUCAGUCCUCAGAGGGAUGCCCAGAGAAGGACGCACCCACUCUGAGCGGGGCAUGCUGCGGCUCCAUGUGUGG